Molecule: transfer RNA, 69 nt
Filed under: Marmota marmota marmota (Alpine marmot)
Lineage: Eukaryota; Metazoa; Chordata; Mammalia; Rodentia; Sciuridae
Also listed under: 1 other name
Rfam family: tRNA
About the family: Transfer RNA (tRNA) molecules are approximately 80 nucleotides in length.
Source: Rfam by way of RNAcentral
GGGGUUAUAGCUCAGUGGUAGAGCACAUGCCUUUCAUACAUGAGGCAUGGGGUUCAAUUGUCAGCACCA